Long non-coding RNA from Neofelis nebulosa (Clouded leopard), 5977 nucleotides. RefSeq lists it as uncharacterized. NCBI's taxonomy places the organism in Eukaryota, Metazoa, Chordata, Mammalia, Carnivora, Felidae. The transcript has 2 exons. The record is from RefSeq and is a predicted model, not a curated record.
AAUUGCAUUUUCAGCUUUGCCUGCAUUUGCAUGCUUCUGGGAGUCAAAGCAUAAAAUCACAGAGGGCUGCACUCAGGCUUUCCCUCGGUGUGAAUUUGUCUGAUGCCAUGGACAUAAAAGUCUCAGUCUGUACUCAUGAGUCUGGACCUGUAUGUGCCUCCCGAUUCUGAAUUUCUAUAGCUCUGUGCUUUAACCUGUUGAUUCUGUGUUUUAUGAAUCAAAACAAAGUACCUCUGUUGCAAAAUAAGUCAUUUUAAUUAAACGGUUGAGUAUGGGGCACCUGGGUGGCUCCGUCAGUUGCCGUCCAACUUAGGCUCAGGUCGUGAUCUCGCGGUUCGUGGGUUCGAGCCCCACAUCAGGCUCUCUUCUGUCCGUGCAGAGCCCCCUUCAGGUCUUCUGUCUCCCCGUCUCUCUGCCCCUCCCCUGCUGGUUCUCUCUUCUCUCUCUCUCUGUCUUAAAAUAAAUAAACUUAAAAAAGGUUGUGUAUGUGGUAGCAUUUUAUGUUCGUAUGUUGAGGGGAAGAGAAAUAAAAUAAAUAGUGAUAAGGUAUAGAAAACUAACGUCGUGCAUUAAACGGAAGGACUCUAGCAAACAAAAUAAACAAAACAAAAAACCCAAAAUAAGUUAGUAAUUUCUUUUGCCUGGGGGUCAUCAACAAAAACUGAGUCUCCAUCCCUCAAAACCAGAAAUCGGGGACUGGGCAGACAGUCGAUUUUGUAAAGGUUUCUCUCAUUUCUGAUCAGUUAGUGGAGGGUCCGCUCUCUUCUUUGUCUCCUGUUCAGGGUCACAUUAUAAUUCUCUUCCUUUAUGCUAGUUCCCCAUAAGUAAGCUUUAUUUCAGAGCUGUUUCCCAGCUGAUGGCCAGAUUUCCCCUUCACAGCUUCUUUGGUAAAGAUGUCUGCGCUGGGUCCCCUCAGAGAGCUACCUGCUGACAGCUGUCUUGAGAAACUGUCCUGAGAUGCCUCCAGAGCAUAAUCGGGGACUUUGCAGAAGCGUCCAUGUUUACUGAGGUGCAGAGGCCCAGGGUCCCCGCCUUAUGAAAAGUUGAACCCCUGAACAGUUGGCAGUUGUUCCCAAAGAUCUUAUCUGGCCCCAGACAAUUCCAGAAGGGAGUUCCAGAGGGGAAACUGACGGUUUGAUCUCUCUUCUGCCUGAGGUCAUAGUUGGCGGUGCUCUCAACGUCCGAGGGGGCUUCAUUUCCCAGAACAGAUUUGAUUUCCUUUUAACUGGUUUUGGUUCCUUACUUUAGGCUCUGAGAACCCACAGCAGGGAUUAUUGUGUUUGUUUCUCUUGGCUUGAUGGGGAAUUCACUGGAGAUGGGGAAUUCUGACCGGGGUUACUUACAUGAUACGGAAAUGCGCAAGAACGCACAGCUAAGGCCUGCACGGCCCAGCCUCACUUGUUCGUGGGGGUCCACGUCACCUUCCGUCCUGUCCUCCUUCAGAAGGGUUCGUUCGCCCGCUGUUAUUUCACUCUCUCAACAAAAUAGUGUCAAUCCAAGUGCAUUGACCUUAGUGGUUGAACUUGAGGGUGGUAGGCUGUAAUUUUAUGUUGGAAACCCUGGAUCCCCAGACUCCUGCUCCGUCCUGAAAAUGGGCCAUAGAUGGAAUGCUCAGCUGUCCUCUGUAGCUGUGGAAUGCUGGGCGGCCUCUUAAGAGAGUUUGGCUUGAACUCAUUCCAUUAACCUCAUUUUCCCUCGGAUCAAACUCAUUCUUUUCUGGCAGCGCCUGGCUUUUCUGGUGUGUUAGGCAAGUUGUGUGACCAUUCAGCACUUUGUUUGGAUUAAAGUUUUGCUUAGUGAUGCUAGAGAGCUCCUGAUGACAUUGACCCCCUCCCUUUGUGCAGGUCCUUAUAUGUUCUAGAGCCCUUCCGCCAGCUUUAGCCCUGGAAGGCAGAUGGUGUGGCCAGCAGUGCCCAGUGAAGGAAACACAGUGCUCUGCAUACCUGAGAGUCAGCUUAAGGAUUCUUCAUGAGCUGGGAGACUUCCUGAGGCUUACACAGAUCAUUAUUAAAACGAAGAGCGAAAUAAGAACCGCAAGGAAGAAAAUAAGCCUAAGCCGAAAGUGUUAACAUCUCCACUUGAAAGAUAUUUUUUUGGGCGGUCCAGCCAGUAUACACCUGUUCACCCCUAGGAGGACUUUAUGGCUCAAGGUGAUGGGGACUUUGAGUAAGGAAUUCCCAAGAUCUUGGUGGUCCGCUUCAUUUAAGAAAAAGCGAGUGUUUUGCUUAAAGCAGUGGGUAAUGAUGGCUUCCAAUAAAUAAUUCCUGUAUAAGCCGUAGAACAGCUCUAUCACUUCGUCUUCCAGGUCAAAGAAACAAGUUCUUGCUUCUGUUUCAUUAUGCUUUGGUUAACACUGCCUUACAGAGCACCUGGGUUCCUCAGUCAGUUAAGCCUUUGACUCUUGAUUGGGUUGUGACCCCAGGGUCGUGAGAUCAAGCCCUGCGUUGGGCUCUACGAGGGCUGCGGAACCUGUUUGAGAUUCUUUCUCUCUCUCUCUUACUCUCUCUCUCCCCCUUUUGCCCCUUCCCUGCUCGCCCACUCUCUCAAAAAAGAAAAAAAAAAUUGCCUUAGCAAAGAAGCUUCUAGAUACUCGGCCCACAGCAAGACCUUGUAGGUAGGUGCUGUAAGCGCUGGGGCGUCUUCACUCCUUCGGGUGAAUUUCUUCACAACCGGGUGUUGUAGCCUAAUUACAGGUUGACUUGAAAUGCAGUACCAAGUACAACUAAAUACACUGCGGCCGACUUUGCAUUUAUGUUUUCUCUCCUGCUCCUACUUGUGUUACAUGUGAUCCUCCUGUGCUCAAAAUAGAAUGGGGUAUUGCUGACUUGUAUGCUCCUCAAAGCAGUGUUCCAGAGACAAACGUGCCUGGGAGAAAGGAUACAGUAAAAGUGGUGAGAGUAAAAGCCCUUUAAGAAGGUGUGUUUAAGCAAAAUUAAUUCGUAUCGACUUGGGUGAAGAGACCAACGUUCCUCUUCUGUAUUCCCAGGGUGUUCAUAAAGCAGAAAGGAGACCACUGAGUUUUCUGAGCAGGAGUUAAUGUAUUUACUAACAGGAAAUUGUUUCACGAAACAUUAUCUGUUUUCAAAGGCUAAAGCUACCCUAUAAAGGACCCUGUAAAGGUGCUGCCCUGUUUUAUUUUGGGGGGGGGCGGGAUGGGCACACGGUCUGUCCCCACACUGUGCUCUGACUGGCAUUCCUCCAGGGACCCUCUCCUCGAUGACAUUUUUGGAUCUCCUUUGCCCCACUGCAUAUGGCUCAUUCCCUUCCAUGCAUUUCUCCCCAGAGCUGUUUCUGUUCCUUUCUUGAGGUCUCAUGCCUUUAAUUUGAACAUCAGUUUUCCUCUUUGAGUUAAGACAUAAUUCUUCUUGGCCGAGAAAACUGUGGCACCUUUGAGUGUUCCGGUUGGUGUGUGAAAGCACAAAGAAUAUUCUUGUUGCCGUUUACUCAUUACGGUGUUACAAAUGAAAACCCAACUCUUCUGGCCAAUUACUCUCUGCCUGACUCUGUAAUCCUGAAAGGCAGGGUCCGGAGCUCCGGGCCUUGCCUUGAUCCCCUCUUCCAUCCACUAGCUGUCUCCGGCCAUCAAUGCGAUGCUUCUCUUCUCCUUCCUGCAAACCUUAAUUCCUCGAAGGUCCAGUUCAUGUCUUUUUCCUUCACAAAGUCUUCACCUGCCCCAACUCUCGUGGGUGGCUCCUGAGGUUACCUCCGGUUUCCCCCGUCGUUCUGACACUUGAACACUUUUAAGUGGUUAAAUUCAGUGAGCGCGUUAAAAGAACAUGGUGUGCCCCUCGUGCAAGUUCUCCGCGAGCAGGUCUUGCUCUGUCGUGUUCCCCGUGAAGCUAAGACGCGUAGACAGGAUGGUGCCAAAUUCGGUUUUUUGAAUUUGGAUCUUCCUCCCCGCCUCAUGAUGUUCCCGGAGGUAGUAAUUCAGCGUGGUCACCAGAUCAAGUGAAACACAGUCAGUCUUCUACGGGGACUUAAGGUUGGAUGACACCGGCCGGUUGGAGAGGCCGAGCUAUGUCUUCAUUCGCUUAUUCGACAAAUAGAUCUUGGAUUCUUCUGUGGGUCAGGUGCCUUGCCAGACACCAGCGACACCACAGUCAACAAAACAAACUGGCCGUCAAGUAGGGAGACAGCCUGUCGGCAGAGAGCCAAAUGGGUAUAUGACGACACGUUGUAAUAAAUGCUUUGAAGCAAAAGAACAAGGAUUGCAGGAAUAGUGGCAGGUGGGGACUUGAGUUCGGUGGGGGAGAUCUUCCCAGGGAAAUGAUUUGAAGCUGGACCUGGAAAAUGGGGAGAGUCCACUUGGGCAAAGAGCUCAGGAGGAGCCUCAAGUCGAGUGAGCACCGUGAGCUGAGUUCCUGAGGCCGGAAACGGUGGGCUGCAUUUAGCAGAAAGGAGGCCGCAGGACGGCAGGUGGCGAGCUCCGGCACCCCCGGGUGGGGAGCGUGGAGACGGAGCCAGGUCCUUGCUCGGGCGUUGCAUUGGGAAGAAGGAGGUGAUACUCUGGAAGGCUCGAGAGGAUUUUAAGGGGGGUGUGGCAUACCCAGUACACACUGAACGAUCACCCUUGGGGAGUGGACAGGGGGAGGAAGGUUGGAAAUGGCUCCCCGAUUAGGGUGCCACUGCAGUCACGCCGGAGAGAGGAGGCUGGGACCCAGAGGGGCGUGGACGUGAAUUUCAAAAAUCUUUCAGAAGUGGAGCCAGUAACACGGGGAACAGGUCAGGCUGGGGGGCCGAGGGAGAGAGCCGUGUGCUCCGUGCUCCCUGGGUCCCCGAUCCUGGAAUGAGGACGGCCAGCCAAUGAGCAGGUUCUCUUGGGGCUGCAUCUGUUGCGAGCUUGGCCGACUGGGUUCUGGAGUGUGAGAAACACAAGUUUUGGUUUGUGGAUUUUAAUCAUUUCAACUCCAAUACCAUUUUGUUGGUGGUGGUGUUGUUUUUAACUCUCCCUGAGGGCAAAAAGAGGUGGGGCUGCAGGCUCACCAGAAAAAAGUCUGUUUGGGGGUGGGACCUCGGCCAGACAGCUGUGCUUUUGUUCUGGUUAAUUUGAAUGGACAAGAGAACACAGGCUUUCUUCUGAAAAUCACAUCUGGAGACAUUGUGGACAUCAAACUAGGUUUUUUGUUGGUUGGUUAGCAGAUUGAGAACGAGGUGAGAAAUAUUUUUACAAGUGAAUAUAAUUAGAGGUACAAGCAUAUUGGUUUGGAGAAAUCAGAAUAGAGUGUUCAUUUGACAGGCAGGAAGUUAAGACUUGUGGGCAGUGAUCAGGUUUUGUUCUGUGAUCAUUCUUUGCACAGAGUGUUAGCUAUUUUAAGUGCUCUGGAUUUUUGAAAUUCUCCAGUAGUUACUUUUUGUUUGGAGCAGGAGAAAGAAAUUUAAAAACAAAACAAAGCAUUUGCAAAUUUCAUAGUAGUGUAGCAAGCUGUCCAAUGAAGGUAACUUUGGCCAUUAAGUCGCAGGAAAGGACAAAGACCUGUAUCUCCUGUCUACUUUCUUACAUCCAAAAAGUUAAUUUAGGGACUGCAAUAAUAGGGGAUGUCUGUGAAAUAAUGUAGUUUUCAGAAUAUGGACACACGGGGGUAUCAAAAGCCCUGAACAUGCGUUAUCUUUUAUCCUGAUAAUUCUGAAGCAGACACUGAUCAGGGGUGCAAAAUGUAGCAGUAAUGUCUAACACCUAGCAAGUUCGCAUUCUGUCCCAUUGUUGAAAUUGCUUACGUGUAUGUUAACUCAUCAGUACACCAUUUGUCCUGUGGAACAGGCGCUGUUGCCAUCCCUGUUUUACACACGCGGACAUUAAGGCUUGGAGAGGUCUGUAACCUGCUGUAGGUCACAGAGCUACGAAGCAAGCAGCCGGUGUUAGAAGGCUGACAGGGCCUCCGGAACCAUGCCUGCAACUUCUAGUCCGCCUCACUGCUCAUUGCCUAUGGCAGUUUAGGAUAACAUUCUUCAUAAUGGUGAAAAGCAAGAAAUGACUUAA